GUGCUCGUAGCUCAACUGGAUAGAGCGUCGGCCUCCGAAGCCGAAGGUUGCAGGUUCGACUCCCGCCGAGCACG
This 74-nucleotide transfer RNA is filed under the name Pseudomonadota bacterium. Its description in RNAcentral is "tRNA-Arg". It matches the Rfam family "tRNA". From Rfam's summary of the family: Transfer RNA (tRNA) molecules are approximately 80 nucleotides in length. The record is from RNAcentral. Lineage: Bacteria; Pseudomonadati; Pseudomonadota. RNAcentral also lists the same sequence under 4 other names.